AUUUCUGAUAACCAUGUGACAAUUUUGAUCUCUUUAAAAAGGUAAUAUGUUUAAUUCAGGAAUUGCGAAAAGCCUUGCAGCAGCUACAAGAAGAAUUGCAGAAUAAGAGCCAACAGCUUCGUGCCUGGGAGGCUGAAAAAUACAAUGAGAUUCGAACCCAGGAACAAAACAUCCAGCACCUAAACCAUAGUCUGAGUCACAAGGAGCAGUUGCUUCAGGAAUUUCGGGAGCUCCUACGGUAUCGAGAUAACUCAGACAAAACCCUUGAAGCAAAUGAAACGUUGCUUGAGAAACUUCGCCAGCGAAUACAUGAUAAAGCUGUUGCUCUGGAGAGCACUCCCAGGAGAUGGAAAGCCUGAGGGAGGCUCUGCUGUCCUCUCGAUCCCACCUUCAAGAGCUGGAAGAGGAGCUGGAGCACCAGAAGGUGGAAAGGCAGCAGCUUUUGGAAGACUUGAGGGAGAAGCAGUAAGAGGUCUUGCGUUUAAGGGAGGAACGUCUUUCCCUCCAGGAAAACGACUCCAGACUGAAGCACAAGCUGGUUCUCCUGCAGCAACAGUGUGAAGAGAAACAGCAGCUCUUUGAGUCCCUCCAGUCAGAGUUACAAAUCUACGAGGCACUUUAUGGCAAUUCCAAGAAGGGGAUGAAAGCUUACAGCCUGGAUGUCUGUCACCAAAUCCCUUUGAGCAGUGACCUGAACCACCUGGUGGCAGAGGUAUGAGCUCUGAGAGGGCAGCUGGAGAAGAGCAUUCAGGGGAACAAUUGUCUGUGACUGCAGCUGCAACAGCAGCUGGAUAGCCUGCUGGCAAAGCCAGCCUCAGCCCCUCCUCUGUUAACCAGAACUUCCCAGCCAGCGCUGACCCUGGAAACAAGCAGCUGCUCCUCCAAGAUUCAGCUGUGUCCCCUCCAGUCCGGGAUGUUGGUAUGAAUUCCCCAGCUCUGGUCCUCCCCAGCUCUGCUUCCUCUACUCCUGGCUCAGAAACGGCCAUAAUCAACAGAACACAUGGUGCUAGGCAGCAAAGGCAUUCAUGAGCUUCGGAGCAGCACCAGUGCCCUGCACCAUGCCCUAGAGGAGUCGGCUUCCCUCCUCACCAUGUUCUGGAGAGCGGCCCUGCCAAGCACCCACAUCCCUGUGCUGCCUGGCAAAGUGGGAGAAUCAACAGAAACGGAACUUCUGGAACUGAGAACCAAAGUAUCCAAACAGGAGCGGCUCCUUCAGAGCACAGCUGAGCGUCUGAAGACCGCCAACCAACAGAAGGAGAGCAUGGAGCAGUUCAUCGUCAGCCAGCUAACCAGAACACAUGAUGUUUUAAAGAAGGCAAGGACUAACUUAGAGGUAAGGAAACUACUGCACCAGUCAGAGGCACCAAGCCUGUCCCCCACCCAUCACCAUCCGUUAGCAGAUAUUGUAGGCGACCCUUGGCCUGCUUUGGCCUUCCAGGAGAAGAUUUCCAGUCCACUUUCAAGAUCACAGGUCCUCAGUGAGCUUCCUGAUAGUUUCUGUUCCCAUCACCCUCCCACCCCGUCAGCUCCUGCCCCUGUAUCUUGGUUCACUCUCACAUUGUCAUCAUCUCUCCUUUUUACUCCAAUUUUUCUUCUUUGAUGCCAAGUUCGGAGACUGGAGAAUGCAAUUCAGCUCACUCUUGAAGUUGUUAGACAUUCAGGAGUCUGCCUCUGAAUGAGCUUUUGGUAGAGGGAUCUUGAGGCCAGUUAUGUGUUCUACUGUUCAUGAAAAAGUAAAAGCAGUUUGCAACCUAAUAAACUGAUUUCACUGCAUACUCCUGGGUUAAGAACAGCAAUUUGAUUUUGGUGUAUCUUUAAGUAACAUGUCAAAAGAGAUCUGUUGUGUCUCAUUGGUCUAAAAGAGAAUUUGUUAAUAAAUAACAACUGAACCUUGGGGGGUGGGGGCGGAAUGUUACAUAUGUACCAGACAUUAUCGACAUAAAACACUAAGUGUUAAUCAUUCCCUAGGAAGUGCUUUGAAGAAAAACUUGAGGUAUAUGAAAUGGUUUAAAAAUCAGAAACUAAACCUUUUAACGUGGACUUCAAAGCUUUGCCAUAAGCAAUUCAGCAUAUUCCUAGAAAUGUUUCUAAACCAUAACCUGAGAGAAUGUUGAUCUCCAUAGUGUAAAAAUGACUUGGGCCAGUUUAACUUGCUCUUUUUUUUAUUUUUUCACUAAUUCCCUUUUAUUUUUCUCUGAUAAUUCUUCUCUUUCCUGAGCCUCUUUAGAGCAGCACUUACAGGAUUGCCUGUGUAAAGCCUUAUUCCUGUCCCAGAAAAGGUAAAAUCCCUAAGGGCUCUGCUGUGUACUCCAGCCUUGUGACCCUUGCUUUCCAGGAACCAUGCAAGAAGUGCAGCCACCAGAAGUCCUUAUAUAGGUAUACAUAGUCCUUUGGUAACAAGUCCUUUGUUAUAUAGGUAUACAUGUGCCAUGUUGGUUUGCUGCACCCAUCAACUCUCCUAACGCUAUCCCUCCCCCAGCC
RNAcentral lists this long non-coding RNA (2481 nucleotides) under Pan troglodytes (chimpanzee). RNAcentral describes it as "long non-coding RNA NONPTRT008756". The record is from RNAcentral. Lineage: Eukaryota; Metazoa; Chordata; Mammalia; Primates; Hominidae.